AUGGAGAGGAGGAAGAUGGAGAUGAUGGAGAGGAAGAUCAACACAUGUAAUGUUGGUAAUGACGAGGAACAAUAUGGUGUGGAUAUUAUGUCUUCCUACCCAGACUACGUUGACGAUGACUUGUCCUAUGCCAAGAACAUUGGCUACAUGCUUGCUGCAAGGGACACAAUUGGAACGACCCUGACAUGGGUUUUCUACAACCUCGCCCAGAACCCAAACGUUGUGUCAAUCAUCCGUAGUGAACUCUCACCUAUUGCAUCAUGCAAAGUAGCAGCCAGUGUGGAUGCCAUGAUGAUCUUUGAGCCGCAUGAAACCAAAUCUCUAAUCUAUCUGAGAGCCGUCUUGUACGAAACUCUUAGGUUGUACCCACCGGGACCUUUAGAGCGCAAGACGGUGGCCGCCGAUGAUAUAAUGCCAAGUGGCCAUGAGGUGCGCACCGGUGAUACCAUCCUUAUUUCUCUGUACUCCCUGGGGAGAAUGGAGGGCGUGUGGGGUAAUGACUGUCUCAUCUUUAACCCAGAUAGGUGGCUCUCGGAAGAUGGCAACAAUCUGAGGUAUGUACCAUCUUGGCAUUCAACUCGGGCCCAAGGAUAUGCCUUGGCAAGGAAAUUGCGGUUAUGCAGAUGA
RNAcentral lists this ribosomal RNA (627 nucleotides) under Triticum aestivum (bread wheat). RNAcentral describes it as "partial small subunit ribosomal RNA". The record is from RNAcentral. Lineage: Eukaryota; Viridiplantae; Streptophyta; Magnoliopsida; Poales; Poaceae.